Molecule: long non-coding RNA, 1097 nt
Filed under: Oryctolagus cuniculus (rabbit)
Lineage: Eukaryota; Metazoa; Chordata; Mammalia; Lagomorpha; Leporidae
Description: lncRNA (ENSOCUG00000030762.1)
Source: RNAcentral
AUGCGUGGCAACAGCCAGGGAGAGCUGACACCACUAUUAGGCAGAGAGUACGGCUCCCGCCAGAGGUGCCUGGGGAGUGAUCACGUGUCCCCGGGGCCUUUGCACGGGGCAAGCUACAUCCUGGUGAUGGUGGACCCCGACGCCCCGAGCAGGUCGGAGCCCAGGCUGAGGUUUUGGAGACACUGGUUGAUGACAGACAUCAAGGUAAGCAGCCAGGGGUCAGAGUUCACGCCCGGGGGAGCUGGAGGCCGGCAGGUGCAAGGACAGCCGCGUCAGGUCGCCCCAGCACUCAGCUGAUACCGCCCCUCCCAAGUGGUCCAGCAGUUGCAAGAAGUGUCUCGGUGGCAAGGCGGGUGCCACAUCUCGGUUGAGACAAUGGUUGUGUAGGAGCCAGAGUUGGCCUUGGGAACACAAAUAUGGUGCCUUGUUGGUGAGCAUUAUACGGUUGGUGGGGGGCAGUGGGAGGGACAGGUAGACUGUCCUACCAUACACGUUUUGGACACUCUGGGGUGAGCAGUAUUGAAGGGCUUUGUUGAGUUUUUCCCACUAGCAAUCAGCCCUCUGCAACUGCCCGUUCCUCAUCUGUGUAUUGAACCGACUGCAGAAUGAAAAUAUCUGGGGGCUGGGGGGUCUGCGUGUGUCCCGAACAUGUACCGGCUAUUUGCAUACAUGCUCGCCGCAAGCGGUCAGGAGCCCGUGCCUGGACAACCUGCAGUCGGGCUUUGCAAAGAGUGGGCAAAGCUUUCCACCCCGAGAGGACCCCCGUGGGAAAGCAGAACCAGAAAAAACCAGAUCUGCUCUAGAUCUUGCUGGUUGAAGACCCAGUAGCCCCUGUGUCGUCUCCCUGGAGCCAAGUGUUUCAACCUUAUCUGUUCCACGGGAACUGUGCUAACAACUCCACUGGGCCACACGCUGGGAGCGCUUUGGGAAAUGCAGAGACAACACGGGUGGGGGGGGGACUGUGCGUUUCUUCUGGAGUUGGGUGGGAGACGGGGCAGCAGUCUGCACUAGCUGACCAGGGGACUCUCCCAGCCACUGGGUGGGGGUGCUGAAAGAGCAGUCACCACAGGCCAGUGUCCCCCGCCCUUCGCCAGGAA